CACAUUAUUGAGUACAUUGAUGAAGUUUGCGCCUGAAUGGGAAGAAUAAUUUCUCACAUCCAAUGUGUGAUGGCUGCUAUAGUUAUGAGACAAGUUCUUAAACAGACCGUAAAAGAAGGGAAUGCAUCAACGACCUUUUAGCAUGAAUAGUUAGUCUCCCCGGGGAUAAGGAUUGAUCAUAGUAGAGAUAUGAGAAGUUUGAUGUUCCAAUGGCCUACACUAUAGAGCAACAAUUAUUUAUGUUGGAAUAGCUUGGUCUGCAAGUUUUUACCACUACCAUUUGUUCUUGACUUCUUUCAUGGGUUUUGGGAUUUGUUCUUCGGUUGGUUUACAAGAGGGAACUUUACUAUGAAAAAGGGAAGAAGCUUGGGAAAAAAAGAACAAGAGAAGAUCAUGAUCAGCUAAAAUAGAGUAUACUGGAGGGAGCUACUGAUUCAGAAGAUGCUCAUCACAAAGACUUCCUUUACGCUUGUUAGACAAUAGACACCAAUUUUCUUUUCUUUCAGUUUAAUUUUCUUAUUUGUUUGGUUGUCGGAUCAGAUUAAAAGAUACCACGAACUCUCCUAAAAAAACCGGAGUAUACUUUUCAACUGCAAUAGCAGGAGCAGAUUGAUGAUUGUGAAGCAUGAACCCGAGUAUUGGAAAUAUGUAGAGGAAGGAUAAACCUGAGAGAGACACUACUUUGCCAACCGAGAUAUGCCAGAAACUUGAAGACCAUUUGAGCUAGUGAGAUCAAUUAGAGGACCAGAUUCAUCCAAUCAUUGAUAAGUGCCAGUACCAACCUGAUAAACGAGAUACAGCAACAUCUAUGUCAGCCCACAAAGCACGAUGAGUACUUGAUCAGCCUCUUCCACAUCCAGUUUCACGAACCCGGAAAAUCUGCAUCCCAAAACAAAAUAUCGGUGCAUUCAUGCAUACAUCCAUACAUGCAUUCAUGCAUACAUCCAUACAUGCAUUCAUGCAUACAUCCAUACAUGCAUUCAUGCAUACAUCCAUACAUCCAUACAUGCAUUCAUGCAUACAUCCAUACAUGCAUACAUUUUAUACAUUCAUACAUGCAUACACAUGCAUAUAUAUUUGCUUUCUUGAUUUAUUGAUUAGGUCAUUGCUUGCUACUUUAGUACAUUUGUUAAUAACUUGUUCUUGUUUGUUUCUUGUGCUUAUCUCAGUUUGUAACGUGCUUGCUUGUUUCUUGCACUGAUUGCUUACAUGUUUAACUUGUUCACUUUAUUCCUUCUUUGUUUCAUUGAUUAUUUGAUCGUUGCUUGACUUGUUUGUUUGUUUCCUUCUUGGUUCCUUGAUUUACUUUACUUCAUUGGGCAGCCUUCUUCUUGGAUACUCGCUUACUUAGUUGUUUCAAUCAAUUUCUUUACACACUCGUUUGCUUGUUUCCUGAUCCUCUGGUUUUUCUUUUUCUUUUUUACUUUCGUCGUCACUAUUUCUUACAUGAACUUCUCUACUUGUUUCGUUGUUUGCUUACGAUUUUCAUUUGGUUACUCGCUUUCUUUUGCUUUCUUUACUCCUUCCAUAGUUCCAUUGCUUGCUUAGACGUAAUUGUUUAAGAAAAAAUCUCCACAACAUCCUCUUUGUUCUUGCAAACUCCAUUACUUAAUUCCGUUUAUGCGUAUCUUUUAAAAUAUCUACAACUCUUUAGCGAAAUUUUAUAAUCCACACUAUACAAUUUAAUUCGUUUUAUAUAUGACAUGUUUAGCAAAAAAAAAU
RNAcentral lists this small RNA (1722 nucleotides) under Arabidopsis thaliana (thale cress). Its description in RNAcentral is "putative long intergenic non-coding RNA". The record is from RNAcentral. Lineage: Eukaryota; Viridiplantae; Streptophyta; Magnoliopsida; Brassicales; Brassicaceae.